AUGGCGGCCAACCACCACCUCCGCCGCCUCGCCUCCGCGUCCGCCCCCGCUCUCUCCCGCCUCUCCAAACCCCCUGCUUCGCCGCUCCUCCGCCCCGCGUUCUCCAGCUCCGCCUCCCCCGCGGAUCAGCUGGCGGCGGCGGGGGCCGCUGCAGCCGAGAAGGGCGAGGCCCAGGGCGCCGUGAAGGAGGCGGGCGGGGCGCAGGGCGCUGAUGCUGGCGCGAGGAAGGCGGGGGAGGAGGACGAGGAUGACGGCGGCCUGGACAUAAACGAGGCCACGGGCGAGAUCGGCGGCCCGCACGGGCCGGAGCCCACCCGCUACGGCGACUGGGAGCGCGGCGGCCGCUGCUCCGACUUCUGA
This 360-nucleotide ribosomal RNA is filed under the name Triticum aestivum (bread wheat). Its description in RNAcentral is "partial small subunit ribosomal RNA". Lineage: Eukaryota; Viridiplantae; Streptophyta; Magnoliopsida; Poales; Poaceae. The record is from RNAcentral.